RNAcentral lists this ribosomal RNA (399 nucleotides) under uncultured bacterium. RNAcentral describes it as "bacterial SSU rRNA". It matches the Rfam family "Bacterial small subunit ribosomal RNA", at positions 30 to 432 of the family's 1533-position model. The record is from RNAcentral.
AUUGAACGCUGGCGGCAUGCCUUACACAUGCAAGUCGAACGGCAGCACGGGAGCAAUCCUGGUGGCGAGUGGCGAACGGGUGAGUAAUAUAUCGGAACGUGCCCAGUCGUGGGGAUAACGUAGCGAAAGCUACGCUAAUACCGCAUACGAUCUACGGAUGAAAGCGGGGGAUCGCAAGACCUCGCGCGAUUGGAGCGGCCGAUAUCAGAUUAGGUAGUUGGUGAGGUAAAGGCUCACCAAGCCGACGAUCUGUAGCUGGUCUGAGAGGACGACCAGCCACACUGGGACUGAGACACGGCCCAGACUCCUACGGGAGGCAGCAGUGGGGAAUUUUGGACAAUGGGCGCAAGCCUGAUCCAGCAAUGCCGCGUGCAGGAUGAAGGCCUCGGUUGUAACGUA